CGGAAUUGCAUUUGAAACUGGCAGACUAGAGUACUGUAGAGGGGGGUAGAAUUUCAGGUGUAGCGGUGAAAUGCGUAGAGAUCUGAAGGAAUACCGGUGGCGAAGGCGGCCCCCUGGACAGAUACUGACACUCAGAUGCGAAAGCGUGGGGAGCAAACAGGAUUAGAUACCCUGGUAGUCCACGCCGUAAACGAUGUCUACUUGGAGGUUGUGGCCUUGAGCCGUGGCUUUCGGAGCUAACGCGUUAAGUAGACCGCCUGGGGAGUACGGUCGCAAGAUUAAAACUCAAAUGAAUUGACGGGGGCCCGCACAAGCGGUGGAGCAUGUGGUUUAAUUCGAUGCAACGCGAAGAACCUUACCUACUCUUGACAUCCAGAGAACUUUCCAGAGAUGGAUUGGUGCCUUCGGGAACUCUGAGACAGGUGCUGCAUGGCUGUCGUCAGCUCGUGUUGUGAAAUGUUGGGUUAAGUCCCGCAACGAGCGCAACCCUUAUCCUUGUUUGCCAGCGAGUAAUGUCGGGAACUCCAGGGAGACUGCCGGUGAUAAACCGGAGGAAGGUGGGGACGACGUCAAGUCAUCAUGGCCCUUACGAGUAGGGCUACACACGUGCUACAAUGGCGCAUACAGAGGGCAGCCAACUUGCGAAAGUGAGCGAAUCCCAAAAAGUGCGUCGUAGUCCGGAUUGGAGUCUGCAACUCGACUCCAUGAAGUCGGAAUCGCUAGUAAUCGUGGAUCAGAAUGCCACGGUGAAUACGUUCCCGGGCCUUGUACACACCGCCCGUCACACCAUGGGAGUGGGCUGCAAAAGAAGUAGGUAGUUUAACCUUCGGGGGGACGCUUACCACUUUGUGGUUCAUGACUGGGGUGAAGUCGUAACAAGGUAGCGCUAGGGGAACCUGGCGCUGGAUCACCUCCUUAAACGAUGAU
RNAcentral lists this ribosomal RNA (927 nucleotides) under Vibrio parahaemolyticus. RNAcentral describes it as "bacterial SSU rRNA". It matches the Rfam family "Bacterial small subunit ribosomal RNA", at positions 616 to 1533 of the family's 1533-position model. The record is from RNAcentral. Lineage: Bacteria; Pseudomonadati; Pseudomonadota; Gammaproteobacteria; Vibrionales; Vibrionaceae.